RNAcentral lists this non-coding RNA (27 nucleotides) under Mus musculus (house mouse). The record is from RNAcentral. Lineage: Eukaryota; Metazoa; Chordata; Mammalia; Rodentia; Muridae.
UAAUAAGGCUGCUAUGAACAUACUGGU